UUUUGAUUUUGGGGAAAGGUGGCGUGGAAUGUAGAGUGGCAUGUAGAUGUUACUUUGGGGAUAUGAGCGCAGAUAAUCAUUGCCGCCAAAUACCGCGGGAGCGUUGCUGAGAACUGAGAAUAUGCUGUACCGACUAAUAUGGUGUGACUGGAUUAUUGCCU
This is a long non-coding RNA of Puntigrus tetrazona (Sumatra barb), 161 nucleotides long. RefSeq lists it as uncharacterized. The record is from RefSeq and is a predicted model, not a curated record. Lineage: Eukaryota; Metazoa; Chordata; Actinopteri; Cypriniformes; Cyprinidae. The transcript is spliced from 3 exons.